UACGUAGGGGGCAAGCGUUGUCCGGAUUUAUUGGGCGUAAAGAGCGUGUAGGCGGCUAUGCAGGUCCGCUGUGAAAACUCGAGGCUCAACCUCGAGACGUCGGUGGAAACCGCAUGGCUAGAGUCCGGAAGAGGAGAGUGGAAUUCCCGGUGUAGCGGUGAAAUGCGCAGAUAUCGGGAAGAACACCCGUGGCGAAGGCGGCUCUCUGGGACGGUACUGACGCUGAGACGCGAAAGCGUGGGGAGCGAACAGG
This 253-nucleotide ribosomal RNA is filed under the name uncultured bacterium. RNAcentral describes it as "partial 16S ribosomal RNA". It matches the Rfam family "Bacterial small subunit ribosomal RNA", at positions 524 to 776 of the family's 1533-position model. The record is from RNAcentral.